AGGGUUCGAUUCUGGCUCAGAAUGAACGCUGGCGGCAUGCCUAACACAUGCAAGUCGAACGAAGGCUUCGGCCUUAGUGGCGCACGGGUGCGUAACGCGUGGGAAUCUGCCCCUUGGUUCGGAAUAACAGUUAGAAAUGACUGCUAAUACCGGAUGAUGACGUAAGUCCAAAGAUUUAUCGCCGAGGGAUGAGCCCGCGUAGGAUUAGCUAGUUGGUGUGGUAAGAGCGCACCAAGGCGACGAUCCUUAGCUGGUCUGAGAGGAUGAUCAGCCACACUGGGACUGAGACACGGCCCAGACUCCUACGGGAGGCAGCAGUGGGGAAUAUUGGACAAUGGGCGAAAGCCUGAUCCAAGCAAUGCCGCGUGAGUGAUGAAGGCCUUAGGGUUGUAAAGCUCUUUUACCCGGGAUGAUAAUGACAGUACCGGGAGAAUAAGCUCCGGCUAACUCCGUGCCAGCAGCCGC
RNAcentral lists this ribosomal RNA (465 nucleotides) under uncultured bacterium. RNAcentral's name for it is "bacterial SSU rRNA". It matches the Rfam family "Bacterial small subunit ribosomal RNA", at positions 8 to 518 of the family's 1533-position model. The record is from RNAcentral.